This 253-nucleotide ribosomal RNA is filed under the name uncultured bacterium. RNAcentral's name for it is "partial 16S ribosomal RNA". It matches the Rfam family "Bacterial small subunit ribosomal RNA", at positions 524 to 776 of the family's 1533-position model. The record is from RNAcentral.
GACAGAGGGUGCAAACGUUGUUCGGAAUUACUGGGCGUAAAGCGCGUGUAGGCUGCUCUGCAAGUCGGAUGUGAAAGCCCUGGGCUCAACCUAGGAAGUGCACUCGAAACUGCAGAGCUUGAGUCUCGGAGAGGAUCGCGGAAUUCUCGGUGUAGAGGUGAAAUUCGUAGAUAUCGAGAGGAACACCGGUGGCGAAGGCGGUUGCCUGGGGCUUUGCUGACGCUGAUGCGCGAAAGCGUGGGGAGCAAACAGG